This 66-nucleotide transfer RNA is filed under the name Actinomycetota bacterium. Its description in RNAcentral is "Actinobacteria bacterium tRNA-OTHER". Lineage: Bacteria; Bacillati; Actinomycetota. The record is from RNAcentral.
GAGCGUCGCUCCUGCUUUCGCGGCUUUGCAAGCCGCAGGUCGCCGGUUCGAUCCCGGCACGCUCCA